This 341-nucleotide unclassified non-coding RNA is filed under the name soil metagenome. RNAcentral describes it as "partial contains 5.8S ribosomal RNA, internal transcribed spacer 2, and large subunit ribosomal RNA". The stretch from base 1 to 120 matches the Rfam family "5.8S ribosomal RNA", at positions 35 to 154 of the family's 154-position model. The record is from RNAcentral.
GAUGAAGAACGUAGCGAAAUGCGAUAAGUAGUGUGAAUUGCAGAAUUCAGUGAAUCAUCGAAUCUUUGAACGCACAUUGCGCCCUUUGGUAUUCCAAAGGGCAUGCCUGUUCGAGCGUCAUUUGUACCCUCAAGCUUUGCUUGGUGUUGGGCGUCUUGUCUCUAGCUUUGCUGGAGACUCGCCUAAAAGUAAUUGGCAGCCGGCCUACUGGUUUCGGAGCGCAGCACAAGUCGCACUCUCUAUCAGCAAAGGUCUAGCAUCCAUUAAGCCUUUUUUUCAACUUUUGACCUCGGAUCAGGUAGGGAUACCCGCUGAACUUAAGCAUAUCAAUAAGCGGAGGA